AACAAGCCGCUCAAAAGAUGAUAUGUACAUCGACCAUAUAAUAUUUUAGGAAGAGCCGGAAAAGGUAUGGCUAGCAUCGACAUAUGCUACGCUGUCGCUGCUUAUAACUUGGUCUCUGAAGAGCUUCGUCACUUU
Molecule: small nucleolar RNA, 135 nt
Rfam family: A. fumigatus snoRNA Afu_198
Source: Rfam